GUAAUAUAAACUCAUAGAAGCAUUCCGACUAGGAACAUCAAUGUGAACUACAAAAAAAAAAACAUUAUAUGGUACACGACCGUUGAAUGAGUACAAGUUACAACUCAAUUUAAAUGGAAAUUACUCGCGCACAGAGUUUACAGUACCUACAAAUUAUGAAAUGAAUAUUGUGAGUUACUGUAAUAUAAAGUAUAGACAGUCACGGAUGUAGCGGUUGAACAAUUACUAUAUUAUUUAGAUAUUAUUAUUAGUAUCAUCGUCAUAUAACCAUCGUAUACAAACGUACAGUGGACUUAAAUAGUUAUGAUUGCCAACCAAAGUGGGCCAAUCCACCCCAAUGCCAUGAAUUUAGAAUGACAGUACAACAGUUUGUAGAUAGUUUGAACAUUCAUUUUGAGAAAAAUGCCUGGAUAUAAACGCACACGUUGGAACAAAAUAUAAUGACAGAAACUAAAACAAAUGGAUGCAAUUUAGAAAACGAUCUACUAAGUAAGCCUAUGAAGUUGAUGGCCCGAAAUGACCUAAAACGCCUGCCAGAAUGUCCUGAGUAUGGCCAGUGAAAAAUUCUAAAUAAGACAAAACUUACUGGGGGGGGGGUUUAUUAAAAUGAAAAUGUUUUUGCUAAAAACAAUUAGCUAAAGGAGAAAUUCAUAAUGUUAAUUACUAAAACAUUUCAUAAAAAGAGAUUUUGUCGUAAUACU
Molecule: long non-coding RNA, 701 nt
Organism: Adelges cooleyi (spruce gall adelgid)
Lineage: Eukaryota; Metazoa; Arthropoda; Insecta; Hemiptera; Adelgidae
Exons: 4
Source: RefSeq, a predicted model, not a curated record